Molecule: ribosomal RNA, 468 nt
Filed under: uncultured bacterium
Lineage: Bacteria
Description: partial 16S ribosomal RNA
Rfam family: Bacterial small subunit ribosomal RNA
Source: RNAcentral
GACGAACGCUGGCGGCGUGCUUAACACAUGCAAGUCGAACGGAAAGGCCCUGCUUUUGUGGGGUGCUCGAGUGGCGAACGGGUGAGUAACACGUGAGUAACCUGCCCUUGACUUUGGGAUAACUUCAGGAAACUGGGGCUAAUACCGGAUAGGAGCUCCUGCUGCAUGGUGGGGGUUGGAAAGUUUCGGCGGUUGGGGAUGGACUCGCGGCUUAUCAGCUUGUUGGUGGGGUAGUGGCUUACCAAGGCUUUGACGGGUAGCCGGCCUGAGAGGGUGACCGGCCACAUUGGGACUGAGAUACGGCCCAGAGUCCAACGGGAGGAAACGGUGGGGAAUAGUGAACAAUGGGCGGAAGCCUGAUGCAGCAACGCCGCGGGCGGGAUAACGGCCUUCGGGUUGUAAACCGUUUUCGCCUGUGACGAAGCGUGAGUGACGGUAAUGGGUAAAGAAGCACCGGCUAACUACGUG